This is a long non-coding RNA of Acanthopagrus latus (yellowfin seabream), 438 nucleotides long. RefSeq lists it as uncharacterized. The transcript is spliced from 4 exons. The record is from RefSeq and is a predicted model, not a curated record. NCBI's taxonomy places the organism in Eukaryota, Metazoa, Chordata, Actinopteri, Spariformes, Sparidae.
CCUCCAUGCCCACGCCAUCGACGCCGUAGUCCGCCAUCGCAGCGUCGCCCUGCAUCUCAGCCUGCCGCCUGGUCUUUCUGCCAGACUGCUGGAUGGGGAGUGGCUGGAUGAUGUCACCGGGUGGUCCCUGAAACACGGAGGUGGUCCAGGUGGUCCAAUCAUUCCACUGUCUCCCUUCUGACCUUGUGAACCCUGUUGGAAAACAAGGCAUCGUGAACUUCAUUAAGAAUGAAAGUCACCCUUCAUACCAGGAAGUCCAGGGGGUCCCUGUGGAGGGAAAGAAUCAGACUGUCAAUCAUAUUGGCCAGGGAUUCCACGCAGUCCCUCAGGACCAGACUUUCCAGCAGGCCCCUGAGGUCCAACAGGUCCAGUUUUGCCAACAGGCCCCUCUGCUCCAGCUUCUCCCUGUAAAACAACAGCACAGUUACUACCUCUGCA